RNAcentral lists this ribosomal RNA (433 nucleotides) under uncultured bacterium. RNAcentral's name for it is "partial 16S ribosomal RNA". It matches the Rfam family "Bacterial small subunit ribosomal RNA", at positions 29 to 507 of the family's 1533-position model. The record is from RNAcentral.
AACGAACGCUGGCGGCAUGCCUAACACAUGCAAGUCGAACGAGACCUUCGGGUCUAGUGGCGCACGGGUGCGUAACGCGUGGGAAUCUGCCCUUGGGUUCGGAAUAACUCGCCGAAAGGCGUGCUAAUACCGGAUGACGACGUAAGUCCAAAGAUUUAUCGCCCAAGGAUGAGCCCGCGUUGGAUUAGCUAGUUGGUGAGGUAAAGGCUCACCAAGGCGACGAUCCAUAGCUGGUCUGAGAGGAUGAUCAGCCACACUGGGACUGAGACACGGCCCAGACUCCUACGGGAGGCAGCAGUGGGGAAUAUUGGACAAUGGGCGAAAGCCUGAUCCAGCAAUGCCGCGUGAGUGAUGAAGGCCUUAGGGUUGUAAAGCUCUUUUACCCGGGAUGAUAAUGACCGUACCGGGAGAAUAAGCUCCGGCUAACUCCGUG